GGAGGGAUGGCAGAGCGGACGAAUGCACCGGUCUUGAAAACCGUUGUGGCUGCAAGGUCACCGUGGGUUCGAAUCCCACUCCCUCCG
This 87-nucleotide transfer RNA is filed under the name Acidimicrobiales bacterium. RNAcentral's name for it is "tRNA-Ser". It matches the Rfam family "tRNA". From Rfam's summary of the family: Transfer RNA (tRNA) molecules are approximately 80 nucleotides in length. The record is from RNAcentral. RNAcentral also lists the same sequence under 1 other name. Lineage: Bacteria; Bacillati; Actinomycetota; Acidimicrobiia; Acidimicrobiales.